GACGAACGCUGGCGGCGUGCUUAACACAUGCAAGUCGAACGGAAAGGCCCUGCUUUUGUGGGGUGCUCGAGUGGCGAACGGGUGAGUAACACGUGAGUAACCUGCCCUUGACUUUGGGAUAACUUCAGGAAACUGGGGAUAAUACCGGAUAGGCGCUCCUGCUGCAUGGUGGGGGUAGGAAAGUUUCGGCGGUUGGGGAUGGACUCGCGGCUUAUCAGCUUGUUGGUGGGGUAGUGGCUUACCAAGGCGUUGACGGGUAGCCGGCCUGGGAGGGUGACCGGCCACAUUGGGACUGGGAUACGGCCCGGACUCCUACGGGAGGCAGCAGUGGGGAUUAUUGCACAAUGGGGGGAAGCCGAAUGCAGCAACGCCGCGGGCGGGAUAACGGCCUUCGGUUGGUAAACCGCUUUCGCCUGUAACGAAGCGUGAGUGACGGUAAUGAGUAAAGAAGCACCGGCUAACUACGUG
This 468-nucleotide ribosomal RNA is filed under the name uncultured bacterium. Its description in RNAcentral is "partial 16S ribosomal RNA". It matches the Rfam family "Bacterial small subunit ribosomal RNA", at positions 28 to 507 of the family's 1533-position model. The record is from RNAcentral.